This 73-nucleotide transfer RNA is filed under the name Bacteroidota bacterium. Its description in RNAcentral is "tRNA-Pro". It matches the Rfam family "tRNA". From Rfam's summary of the family: Transfer RNA (tRNA) molecules are approximately 80 nucleotides in length. Lineage: Bacteria; Pseudomonadati; Bacteroidota. The record is from RNAcentral. RNAcentral also lists the same sequence under 2 other names.
CGGGAUGUAGCGCAGUUGGUAGCGCACUUCGUUCGGGACGAAGUGGUCGCUGGUUCGAAUCCAGUCAUCCCGA